AUACUUACCUGGACGGGGUCAAUGGAUGAUCAAUAAGGUCCAUGGCCUAGGGAAGUAACCUCCAUUGCACUUAGGAGGGGUGCUUUCCUAAGGUCUGCCCAAGUGGCAGAGCCUACGUCAUAAUUUGUGGUAGUGGGGGCUUGCGUUCGCGCAGCCCCUUC
Molecule: non-coding RNA, 161 nt
Organism: Glycine max (soybean)
Lineage: Eukaryota; Viridiplantae; Streptophyta; Magnoliopsida; Fabales; Fabaceae
Source: Rfam